UGGGGCAUGGCUUAUUAAUUUACUUGGAGGAUUAACUAGUAAGUUGUAUUUUUGUAAAUGUCUCCAGAAGCUCUGGGGCAUUCAUUUCUAAGAACACAAUGAACGAAUGCUAAUGCCUACGAGAACAUUUCCAGCCUGAAACAGACCCAGUCAUCAGCAAUACAGUACAACUUCUGUGGGACAUUGGAAGAACAGCUGUAAAAUGAUCUACAAAGACCCAUCAGAGGAGCAGUGCUGCAGAACUCUCCAUGCCCUCGGGACUGCAGUAUGUGUUUGGAGACUAAGGGCAUUCUACGGCACCACAAUAUUACAGUCUAAACCAAGAAGGCAGUGGUACCACACCCAGUUUGUAAGUCAUACAUAUGCAUCUUCAACUGUUUAUCACAAGACUUCACCAGUUUUUCUCUUCCUGAACCAGAACUGGGUCAGUUUCUACACUGUACUUGUUAGCUACGCCUUUUUUGUCCUUUACUAUCCUAUCUAGCUGUCUUUUACCACAACACUGCUGGUUUACAAGAACCAGGCCAGCUGUCUCAGAAUGUCACCUGUUCUGUUAUACUGAAGUUUUUCCUCAGAGAAGAAAAAAGAGAAACAUGAAGAUAAAUAAAUCAAUCGCAGCAGCAUCUACCUGUAAUAUCAGAAAUCAAGACAUGGAAGCAAAAUGGUCAUGAAUCUGAGGCUAGCCUGAGCACCAGGCCAGCUGGGCAAAUUAAUCUCCUCUGUAUUUCCAAGUUCUAUUUAAAGGGUUGACUGCUGUAAAGAGGUUGGCUGGUUAAAGAGUGAAUGUUUUGAGUACUUCCCAGGUGUGGUAUAGGCUUCAUACUGUAUUGUACUGGCUAGUUUUGUGACAACUUGACACAGCUGGAGUUAUCACAGAGAAAGGAGCUUCAGUUGA
Molecule: long non-coding RNA, 895 nt
Organism: Mus musculus (house mouse)
Lineage: Eukaryota; Metazoa; Chordata; Mammalia; Rodentia; Muridae
Product: predicted gene, 41909
Exons: 3
Source: RefSeq, a predicted model, not a curated record